AUACAUUUGACGUUAACUCGUUCAUUGGUUGGGUCGUCGAGGGUGCUUGGUGUCCUGGAUAUGGAAGCCAAAGAAGGCAUAUGGGUUCGAAAGCUCCUUUUAAUGCCCUCAUUUGAGCGUUCUUGCUUCUCUCACACGAUCGCCUUUGCACGUAUGGCACGUCCCAGCGUGAUUGGCCACAUCGGAGAGGGAUGCAUUGAGCGUUCUUGCUUUUCUCACACGACCGCCUUUGCACGUAUGGCACGUCCCAGCGUGAUUG
This 259-nucleotide unclassified non-coding RNA is filed under the name Conyza bonariensis. RNAcentral's name for it is "partial external transcribed spacer". The record is from RNAcentral. Lineage: Eukaryota; Viridiplantae; Streptophyta; Magnoliopsida; Asterales; Asteraceae.